GGUUGCGAUCAUACCAGCACUAAUGCACCGGAUCCCAUAAGAACUCCGCAGUUAAGUGUGCUUGGGCGAGAGUAGUACUAGGAUGGGUGACCCCCUGGGAAGUCCUCGUGUUGCAACCCC
Molecule: ribosomal RNA, 120 nt
Filed under: Helianthus annuus (common sunflower)
Lineage: Eukaryota; Viridiplantae; Streptophyta; Magnoliopsida; Asterales; Asteraceae
Source: RNAcentral